RNAcentral lists this ribosomal RNA (460 nucleotides) under uncultured bacterium. RNAcentral's name for it is "partial 16S ribosomal RNA". It matches the Rfam family "Bacterial small subunit ribosomal RNA", at positions 338 to 795 of the family's 1533-position model. The record is from RNAcentral.
CCUACGGGAGGCAGCAGUGAGGAAUAUUGGUCAAUGGGCGCUAGCCUGAACCAGCCAAGUAGCGUGAAGGAUGACUGCCCUAUGGGUUGUAAACUUCUUUUAUAUGGGAAUAAAGUGCAGUAUGUAUACUGCUUUGCAUGUACCUUAUGAAUAAGGAUCGGCUAACUCCGUGCCAGCAGCCGCGGUAAUACGGAGGGUGCGAGCGUUAAUCGGAAUUACUGGGCGUAAAGCGCUCGUAGGCGGUAUGUCAAGUCAAGGGUGAAAUCCCCGCGCUCAACGUGGGAACUGCCUUUGAAACUGGCAAACUGGAGUGUGUGAGAGGAUAGUGGAAUUCCAGGUGUAGGAGUGAAAUCCGUAGAUAUCUGGAGGAACAUCAGUGGCGAAGGCGACUAUCUGGCACAUAACUGACGCUGAGGAGCGAAAGCGUGGGUAGCAAACAGGAUUAGAUACCCGUGUAGUC